This 119-nucleotide ribosomal RNA is filed under the name Mastacembelus armatus (zig-zag eel). The record is from RNAcentral. Lineage: Eukaryota; Metazoa; Chordata; Actinopteri; Synbranchiformes; Mastacembelidae.
UACAGUGGCUGCAUCAGAGAGUGAGUGCUCAAUAGCAUCUGCUCUUGGAAGCUAAGCAGGGCUGUGCCUGGUUAGUACUUGCAUGGGAUACCAACUUGAAAGACCAGGGGCUGCUAUCC